UGAUGAGAAGUGGUUAAGAGAAAAAAGAAAGAGUUACAGCUGAUUAAUAAGACGCAAUACAAGGUGAAGAAAUGGAUGGUCACACACACACGUUGAGAGGUCAUUUGAUUUCAUCUAAUAAAUGAAGUUGAGGACACUGGAUAAUGAUUACUGUUGAACAAGUGAGAAGCAAAAGAUGUGUCGCCAAUUUUAAUUAACAGGUUGGUCACAAUUAAUGAUGGACUUGUCAAUAUUCACAUCCGUCUGGCGAAACCACCCAAAGCAAAAAUGGUAGCUAAGCAUAACAAACUCAAUAGCAACUAUAAAAUCUCAAAGGAUUAAUCUUGUCUUGGCCAUGCAAAUGUCCUUUAAUCUGAUGGAUAAUUCUUAAUAGUAAAAUUAAGAUUGAUUAUUAUCACCGGAGGAUCUGAUGCAUUUAAAUAUACUGAUAUUAAUUUAUCAUCGUCUCAAAUUAAAAAGCUUAAUCAGUUGAAUCCAAGCAACUUAUCAUAAAAUAUCAUCGGUAACCCACAUUUGGAUGGUCAAAGAGGAGUACAUGAAAGAUUCAAAGAAAGGUCGCCAUUUAUCACGAUGGUUACAUUUGAUUGUCAUUGGACUCAACUAGUUACAAUUUAAACCAAACUACAUCCAAAUACCAGGACAAGAUUAACUACACAAUCAGAAAAGUUAAACUUGAAGAUUUUACCUUUGAUUAUCCAAGCAAAUACCAAUAUGGAUUACAAGUUGAACAAUUUCGUGCAAACCAAUUAAUAACCAUAUUCAACGGGAAAUGUACAAACACCAAUUGGACGGAGGUUAAGAAGAAAGUUAAACGAAGUAAGCGUGACUCGAGGAAACUGGAAACUUUACCAUCUAAUUAAAAUGCUACGUCGGAGUAACACGUUAAAUUAACUCUGAAUUUUUACCCUUUCCAGCUUUCUAAAGCAUCACAAAUCAAGCUCAACAAUUGAAAGUGAUUAAUCCAUUUUGAUGUUGAAUUAGGAAAGUGUUGGGUCAAUGAAAAGAUGAUCUUACAUUAAACCGAUCAUCAUCAACAUCAUGAUUGUUCCUCUAAUACAUAUCAUUCUACUGACCAACAACAACGUUCUUCUCUCUCUAUCACCAUCACCAUCAUAAACAUAAUCAUCUUAUCCAUUUUGAUUGCCUUAAGACGGAAUGGUCACGACAUUAAUUAUGAUUACGACUCUUGUGUCCGUCUUAAUCACUAAUUUACUCGUUUCCCUGUGCCUUUUGUCUGAGCUUUGCCUGUACUCAAUUCAUUUAAACUGAUUGAUAUUUUGUUUUCCCUUUUCUUUACCAUUUUAUCAUGCUUAUUAUUAUUAUAUUUUUUUUCUAUUAACCGUGUUGUUUUCAAUAUCAAAGGCUACAUCAUUAAUACCAUACAAUUAAGUCUAAAGCAAGAUUUGAUGGCAAAGUUGAACAAUGUUUUUUCAUUUCUUUAAAAAUUGAUUGGUUCACACUUCAUAUUCAUCUUGUAAACCAUAUGCUGUCCAAUUGAUUUUGGAAUAAUCUAAUCACACUUCAACAAUCGAAAAUUUCAAUUAGUAUUGUUUAUAAGAUGUCAUGUUUGAUUACCCAUUAUUGUCUGAUUCCAAUAGUCAAUUUGAUUUCAACAUUUUGUUCAAACUUAACGAUAAUUUGAAAAAUAACAUCUCCAUCUU
Non-coding RNA from Tetranychus urticae (two-spotted spider mite), 1661 nucleotides. Lineage: Eukaryota; Metazoa; Arthropoda; Arachnida; Trombidiformes; Tetranychidae. The record is from RefSeq and is a predicted model, not a curated record.